This 187-nucleotide non-coding RNA is filed under the name Fragilariopsis kerguelensis. The record is from RNAcentral. Lineage: Eukaryota; Bacillariophyta; Bacillariophyceae; Bacillariales; Bacillariaceae.
AAGAAGACAAUAAUAAAGAGGCCGAUAAUAAAGAAGUAACAAUAACAUCAUCAUGGUGAAUCAUCUUCCGUUUCCUUCUUUCUUUCUUUCAUCAUUUGUCUCUUAUGCUCCCUCCCUCCUUCCUUCAUAAAACGAAACUGAACUGAACGACCACAAUCAUAUCAUACAUAACGACAAUCACACAAUC